ACCGGCGCACGGGUGCGUAACGCGUAUGCAAUCUACCUUGUACAGGGGGAUAGCCCAGAGAAAUUUGGAUUAAUACCCCAUAGUAUUAUUGAAUGGCAUCAUUUAAUUAUUAAAGUUCCAACGGUACAAGAUGAGCAUGCGUCCCAUUAGCUAGUUGGUGUGGUAACGGCAUACCAAGGCGACGAUGGGUAGGGGUCCUGAGAGGGAGAUCCCCCACACUGGUACUGAGACACGGACCAGACUCCUACGGGAGGCAGCAGUGAGGAAUAUUGGUCAAUGGGCGCAAGCCUGAACCAGCCAUGCCGCGUGCAGGAUGACGGUCCUAUGGAUUGUAAACUGCUUUUGUACAGGAAGAAACACUCCCUCGUGAGGGAGCUUGACGGUACUGUAAGAAUAAGGAUCGGCUAACUCCGUGCCAGCAGCCGCGGUAAUACGGAGGAUCCAAGCGUUAUCCGGAAUCAUUGGGUUUAAAGGGUCCGUAGGCGGUUUUAUAAGUCAGUGGUGAAAUCUGGUCGCUCAACGAUCAAACGGCCAUUGAUACUGUAGAACUUGAAUUACUUGGAAGUAACUAGAAUAUGUAGUGUAGCGGUGAAAUGCUUAGAGAUUACAUGGAAUACCAAUUGCGAAGGCAGGUUACUACGAGUUAAUUGACGCUGAUGGACGAAAGCGUGGGGAGCGAACAGGAUUAGAUACCCUGGUA
RNAcentral lists this ribosomal RNA (700 nucleotides) under uncultured bacterium. RNAcentral describes it as "bacterial SSU rRNA". It matches the Rfam family "Bacterial small subunit ribosomal RNA", at positions 94 to 792 of the family's 1533-position model. The record is from RNAcentral.